UACGUAGGGUGCAAGCGUUGUCCGGAAUUAUUGGGCGUAAAGAGCUCGUAGGCGGUUUGUCGCGUCCGCUGUGAAAACUCAGGGCUUAACCCUGAGCCUGCAGUGGGUACGGGCAGACUAGAGUGUGGUAGGGGAGAUCGGAAUUCCUAGUGUAGCGGUGGAAUGCGCAGAUAUCAGGAGGAACACCGGUGGCGAAAGCGGCGCGCUGGAUCUCUUCUGACGCUGAGGCGCGAAAGCCAGGGGAGCAAACGGG
Molecule: ribosomal RNA, 253 nt
Filed under: uncultured bacterium
Lineage: Bacteria
Description: partial 16S ribosomal RNA
Rfam family: Bacterial small subunit ribosomal RNA
Source: RNAcentral